CCUACGGGAGGCAGCAGUGAGGAAUAUUGGUCAAUGGGCGCGAGCCUGAACCAGCCAAGCAGCGUGAAGGAUGACUGCCCUACGGGUUGUAAACUUCUUUUAUAAAGGAAUAAAGUGAGGCACGUGUGCCUUUUUGUAUGUACUUUAUGAAUAAGGAUCGGCUAACUCCGUGCCAGCAGCCGCGGUAAUACGGAGGAUCCGAGCGUUAUCCGGAUUUAUUGGGUUUAAAGGGAGCGUAGAUGGGUUGUUAAGUCAGUUGUGAAAGUUUGCGGCUCAACCGUAAAAUUGCAAUUGAUACUGGCAGACUUGAGUACAGGAGAGGUAGGCGGAAGUCGGGGUGUAGGGGUGAAAUGCUUAGAUAUCACGAAGAACUCCGAUUGCGAAGGCAGCUUACCAAACUGGCACUGACAUUGAGGCUCGAAAGUGUGGGGAUCAAACAGGAUUAGAUACCCUAGUAGUC
Molecule: ribosomal RNA, 460 nt
Filed under: uncultured bacterium
Lineage: Bacteria
Description: partial 16S ribosomal RNA
Rfam family: Bacterial small subunit ribosomal RNA
Source: RNAcentral